Molecule: long non-coding RNA, 789 nt
Filed under: Physcomitrium patens
Lineage: Eukaryota; Viridiplantae; Streptophyta; Bryopsida; Funariales; Funariaceae
Description: long non-coding RNA (PPAT_LNC005010)
Source: RNAcentral
UAAUAAUGCUAAGCAAGCUUAAUAAAAUUCAAAAAAACCUCAAAGAAAUUUCAAAUAAACAAUAAGAAUUCUUAAAGAAAUAUUAGAAGGAUCAUAAAUAUCACUCAAAUACAUCUCAAUUCAAUCUUAAUUUAAUUCUAAUUAAAAUCAUAUAGAACUUCAUUCAAACUUUAGGCCAAAACUAAUUGAAUCUUAAAUCCUAAUAAAAUCCUAAACCUUAAAUCAAACCCUAAACAAACCUUAAACCAAACCCCAACCAAAUCCUAAACCAAAUCCUAACCAAACCCUAAACCAAAUCCUAAACCCUAAAUCAAAUCCUAAACAAAUCCUAAUCCAAAUCCUAAACCCUAAACCAAAUCCUAAUCCAAAUCCUAAACCCUUUAUGAAAUCCUAAUCAAAUCCUAAUUCAAAUCCUAAAUCCUAAACUAAAUCCUAAUCCAAACCCUAAAUCCUAAAUUAAAUCCUAAUCCAAAUUCUAAACCCUAAACCAAACCCUAGUAAUUUAUAUAAUAGAUUUAAACCUCAAUAACUAAUGAAUAAAUUGUCGAUCUUAAUUCAAAUUUUUCACACUUCUAAAAAAAUAAGUUAAAAAUAAGUAAAAAAAAAAUUGAAAAGGAUCGGAGUCACCAAAUUGAUGAUAACCUCAAAAAUGUACUUGGGUAUUGACUGGCCUCCUUCUCCAAUCUUGAUGCCAAUCUUCCAGAGCUAAUAUCUUUCUUUUGCACCGUUUGAGUGAUCUCAAAAUUCUUAUACACAUAGAAAAUCAAGUCUAAUAUCCUCUCACGUAAG